Molecule: long non-coding RNA, 369 nt
Organism: Danio aesculapii
Lineage: Eukaryota; Metazoa; Chordata; Actinopteri; Cypriniformes; Danionidae
Exons: 2
Source: RefSeq, a predicted model, not a curated record
ACUGUUUUGCAGGAGUGAAGAGACCAGGCUCGGUGUGAGAAGAUUAGGUUAUUGAAACUUGAAGCUGCAUCAAAGAAGUGCAAGUGUAAAAGCUGCAGUAUUAACAUGCUUUAAGUAGAUGAUUGGUUAUUACCCAGAGCACCAGGAGGAAACCUACACCAACACAGGGAGAACAUGCAAACUCCACACAGAAAUGCCAACUGGCCCAGCCAGAACUCGAACCAGCGACCUUCUUGCUGUGAGGUGACAGUGCUAACGACUGAGCCACCAUGCUGCCCAAUUGUGAAUAAACUAUUAAUACCGUUUAACAGUUUUAUGGAAAUCAUGUUGUUGUUUUUAAUUAGAAAGAAUAAAAAAUAUUUGAAUGGU